Molecule: ribosomal RNA, 542 nt
Filed under: uncultured bacterium
Lineage: Bacteria
Description: bacterial SSU rRNA
Rfam family: Bacterial small subunit ribosomal RNA
Source: RNAcentral
GGGGAAUAUUGCACAAUGGGCGCAAGCCUGAUGCAGCGACGCCGCGUGAGGGAUGGAGGCCUUCGGGUUGUAAACCUCUUUCGCUCAUGGUCAAGCCGCAACUGUGGGUUGUGGUGAGGGUAGUGGGUAAAGAAGCGCCGGCUAACUACGCGCCAGCAGCCGCGGUAAUACGUAGGGCGCGAGCGUUGUCCGGAAUUAUUGGGCGUAAAGGGCUUGUAGGCGGUUGGUCGCGUCUGCCGUGAAAUUCUCUGGCUUAACUGGGGGCGUGCGGUGGGUACGGGCUGACUUGAGUGCGGUAGGGGAGACUGGAACUCCUGGUGUAGCGGUGGAAUGCGCAGAUAUCAGGAAGAACACCGGUGGCGAAGGCGGGUCUCUGGGCCGUUACUGACGCUGAGGAGCGAAAGCGUGGGGAGCGAACAGGAUUAGAUACCCUGGUAGUCCACGCUGUAAACGUUGGGCACUAGGUGUGGGGGCCACCCGUGGUUUCUGCGCCGUAGCUAACGCUUUAAGUGCCCCGCCUGGGGAGUACGGCCGCAAGGCUA